AUCCAGCUGACGAGUCCCAAAUAGGAUGAGAUGCGCGUUAUCCUGAAU
RNAcentral lists this non-coding RNA (48 nucleotides) under Trichobilharzia regenti. Lineage: Eukaryota; Metazoa; Platyhelminthes; Trematoda; Strigeidida; Schistosomatidae. The record is from RNAcentral.